This 484-nucleotide ribosomal RNA is filed under the name uncultured bacterium. RNAcentral's name for it is "partial 16S ribosomal RNA". It matches the Rfam family "Bacterial small subunit ribosomal RNA", at positions 28 to 507 of the family's 1533-position model. The record is from RNAcentral.
AUUGGACGCUGGCGGCAUGCUUUACACAUGCAAGUCGAACGGCAGCGCGGGCUUCGGCCUGGCGGCGAGUGGCGAACGGGUGAGUAAUUCAUCGGAACGUGCCCAGUAGUGGGGGAUAGCCCGGCGAAAGCCGGAUUAAUACCGCAUACGACCUGAGGGUGAAAGCGGGGGACCGAAAUGCCUCGCGCUUUUUGAGCGGCCGAUGGCGGAUUAGCUAGUUUGUGGGGGAAAGGCUUACCAAGGCGACGAUCCGUAGCUGGUCUGUGAGGACGACCAGCCACACUGGGACUGGGACACGGCCCAGACUCCUACGGGAGGCAGCAGUGGGGAAUUUUGGACAAUGGGGGCAACCCUGAUCCAGCCAUGCCGCGUGCGGGAAAAAGGCCUUCGGGUUGUAAACCGCUUUUGUUCGGGAAGAAAUCCUCUGGGCUAAUACCCCGGGGGGAUGACGGUACCGGAAGAAUAAGCACCGGCUAACUACGUG